AACGAACGCUGGCGGCGUGUUUAAGACAUGCAAGUCGCACGGGAUAAGACAUGUAGUAAUACUUGUUUUAUUUAGUGGCGCACGGGUGAGUAACACGUGAAUUACAUGCCCUAUAGUGGGGAAUAGCCCAGGGAAACUUGGAUUAAUACCCCAUGGUAUCGAAAGAUUAAAGGUGGCCGCAAGGCUGUCGCUAUAGGAUUGGUUCGCGCCCUAUCAGCUUGUUGGUGAGGUAACGGCUCAACAAGGCAAUGACGGGUACCUGGUCUGAGAGGACGAUCAGGCACACUGGAACUGAGACACGGUCCAGACACCUACGGGUGGCAGCAGUCGAGGAUAAUUCACAAUGGGGGCAACCCUGAUGGUGCAACGCCGCGUGGAGGAUGACGGUCUUCGGAUUGUAAACUCCUGUCAUCUGGGAGAAAGACCUGACGGUAAAUAGCCGGCAGGGUUGAUAGUACCAGAAGAGGAAGGGACGGCUAACUUCGUGCCAGCAGCCGCGGUAA
Molecule: ribosomal RNA, 503 nt
Filed under: uncultured bacterium
Lineage: Bacteria
Description: partial 16S ribosomal RNA
Rfam family: Bacterial small subunit ribosomal RNA
Source: RNAcentral